CCUACGGGAGGCAGCAGUGGGGAAUCUUGCGCAAUGGGCGAAAGCCUGACGCAGCAACGCCGCGUGCGGGAAGAAGGCUUUCGGGCUGUAAACCGCUUUCAGCAGGAACGAAAAUGACGGUACCUGCAGAAGAAGGAGCGGCCAACUAUGUGCCAGCAGCCGCGGUGAUACAUAGGCUUCAAGCGUUGUCCGGAUUUAUUGGGCGUAAAGAGUUCGUAGGCGGUCGAGUAAGUCGGGUGUGAAAAUUCUGGGCUCAACCCAGAGACGCCACCCGAUACUGCUUGACUUGAGUUCGAUAGGGGAGUGGGGAAUUCCUAGUGUAGCGGUGAAAUGCGCAGAUAUUAGGAGGAACACCGGUGGCGAAGGCGCCACUCUGGAUCGAUACUGACGCUGAGGAACGAAAGCAUGGGUAGCAAACAGGAUUAGAUACCCUGGUAGUCCAUGCCGUAAACGGUGGGCACUAGGUGUGGGUUUCUAUUAACGAAAUCCGCGUCGUCGCUAACGCAUUAAGUGCCCCGCCUGGGGAGUACGGUGCAAGCUAAAACUCAAAGGAAUUGACGG
This 561-nucleotide ribosomal RNA is filed under the name uncultured bacterium. RNAcentral describes it as "bacterial SSU rRNA". It matches the Rfam family "Bacterial small subunit ribosomal RNA", at positions 338 to 916 of the family's 1533-position model. The record is from RNAcentral.